Molecule: ribosomal RNA, 205 nt
Filed under: uncultured bacterium
Lineage: Bacteria
Description: partial 16S ribosomal RNA
Rfam family: Bacterial small subunit ribosomal RNA
Source: RNAcentral
CUCGUAGGUGGCCAACUAAGUCAGACGUGAAAUCCCUCAGCUUAACUGGGGAACUGCGUCUGAUACUGGAUGGCUUGAGUUUGGGAGAGGGAUGCGGAAUUCCAGGUGUAGCGGUGAAAUGCGUAGAUAUCUGGAGGAACACCGGUGGCGAAGGCGGCAUCCUGGACCAACACUGACACUGAGGAGCGAAAGCCAGGGGAGCAAC